Molecule: unclassified non-coding RNA, 246 nt
Filed under: Hevea brasiliensis (rubber tree)
Lineage: Eukaryota; Viridiplantae; Streptophyta; Magnoliopsida; Malpighiales; Euphorbiaceae
Source: RNAcentral
GCCUGCAAUGUUCUCCAUUAACCAGCUUGUUGUGGGCGUUGAAGUUGAUUCACUUGAACUUAUUAUCGAGAUCAGAAUGGGCAGCAAGUUAGAUUUCUUAAGUACAUCUGUUGCUUUCUUAUUACCAACAGGGAGAUUAUUCAAUAUUCCAACAGCAGCAGCUUUUUCACCCUCAGAUGUCGACGAAGAGACGAUAUUUACAAUGUUAUUAAGUUGAUAUUCUCCGAGCUGUUCCAUCAAUUCUUC